CAGAGGUCCCAAGCGUUGUUCGGAUUCACUGGGCGUAAAGGGGUGCGGUAGGUAGGGCCAGGUAAAGUUUCGGUGUGAAAGCUCGGAGCUUAACUCCGAAAUGGCAUUGAAUACUAUCUGGCUAGAGGGUCGGAGGGGAGACUGGAAUUCUCGGUGUAGCAGUGAAAUGCGUAGAUAUCGAGAGGAACACCAGUGGCGAAGGCGAGUCUCUGGACGACUCCUGACACUGAGGCACGAAAGCCAAGGGAGCAAACAGGAUUAGAUACCCUGGUAGUCUUGGCUGUAAACGGUGCACGUUUGCUGUAAAAGGAAUCGACCCCUUUUGUGGCGAAGCUAACGCGAUAAACGUGCCGCCUGGGGAGUACGGUCGCAAGAUUA
Molecule: ribosomal RNA, 378 nt
Filed under: uncultured organism
Description: bacterial SSU rRNA
Rfam family: Bacterial small subunit ribosomal RNA
Source: RNAcentral